This 553-nucleotide ribosomal RNA is filed under the name Biconitoma cretosa. RNAcentral's name for it is "partial small subunit ribosomal RNA". Lineage: Eukaryota; Metazoa; Mollusca; Gastropoda; Neogastropoda; Raphitomidae. The record is from RNAcentral.
GUUAAACCAGUAAGUUAAGUUAUAUAUUUUGGUAAAAAGACAGUUAGACAAGAAUUAGUUUAUCAAUUUCUUAUAUAAAAGUAAAAUUUAAUAUAGGUGUAAUAGAAUAAUAAUAGCUUUAUUGUUGAAUCUGUGAUAUCUUUAAGGGAAACUGGGAUUGGAUACCCCAUUAUUUCUAGAUGUAAAUAAAGAAAUUUACCAGAGUACUACAAAUAAAAUAAUUUAAAACUCAAAGAGCUUGGCGGUAUUUUAGACCACUUAGGGGAACCUGUCUCAUAAUCGACAAUCCACGUUAAACCUUACCUUUUUUAGUAAUCAAUUUGUAUACCGUUGUCAUCAGGUAACUUUCAAAGAAAAAAAAAGUUAGCUAAAAAAUUUUUUAAAUUAGGAUGUCAAAUCAAGGUGCAGUUUAUAAAAAGGAGAAGAUGGGUUACAAUUAUAAAUUAUAAUACGAAUAUGCAUAUUGCAAAUGUUAUAAAUAGCUUGAAGGAGGACUUAAAAGUAAACUUAUAUAUAAAAAUAAAUUGAACAAGGCUCUAAAAUGUGCACACAU